UCAGAGUGAUUUUUCCAUGAAUUGCUCUGCUAAAAGGCGGUUGCUUAUAUUUAGAACCCUCCUCCUCCGGUCUCCACAGCCUGAAACGAUUCUUCUUCCGUUUCUCCAAAUAAUUUGAUUACUCACUCCACCGUACUUAUUAGGAUGAGAUGUGUGUCACGAUACUUCAUAAGUUCAUACUUUUUUAUUUUUUCACAUAAAUAAAUAAAGUUGAUACGAUUAAGCAAUU
Molecule: long non-coding RNA, 229 nt
Filed under: Trifolium pratense (red clover)
Lineage: Eukaryota; Viridiplantae; Streptophyta; Magnoliopsida; Fabales; Fabaceae
Description: long non-coding RNA (TPRA_LNC012031)
Source: RNAcentral